Xenia sp. Carnegie-2017 is the source of this 354-nucleotide long non-coding RNA. RefSeq lists it as uncharacterized. The record is from RefSeq and is a predicted model, not a curated record. Lineage: Eukaryota; Metazoa; Cnidaria; Anthozoa; Malacalcyonacea; Xeniidae. The transcript is spliced from 2 exons.
GUACCUUUCCUCUUAGAUUGGGCGCUAAUAUCGGCACAACAGUCACCUCCAUUUUGGUGUCACAUGAAGUGAACAAGCACAGUUAGUGCAAACAAGUUGAUGCAUUUAGUGCUUAGAAAACUAAUAGAAAAGGUAGGCUAGAAAAUGGUUUGAAAUUCCAACGUUUGUAUUUGAAUGAUGAUCUGGAACCGAGUUUUGUCAUUUAUUCGUUGGCUCAAAUAAAGGGCUAAGAAGGAAAUGAUGGACACAGAUUUUCCCUAUUCUUAUACAUGGGUUCUUUAUUCUAUAGCUAUUGUAGUUGGCAUUGUCAAGUCUUGUGCGAUUAAUUUGAGUAUUACAUUAAUUUCAGAUAAA